Molecule: transfer RNA, 65 nt
Filed under: Rhombosepion orbignyanum
Lineage: Eukaryota; Metazoa; Mollusca; Cephalopoda; Sepiida; Sepiidae
Description: tRNA-Gln
Source: RNAcentral
UACAUUAUAGUGUAUGAGCAUAUAAAUUUUUGAGGUUUAAGGAAAAGUUCAAUCUUUUUUUGUAG